This 219-nucleotide unclassified non-coding RNA is filed under the name uncultured Thelephoraceae. Its description in RNAcentral is "sequence contains ITS2". Lineage: Eukaryota; Fungi; Basidiomycota; Agaricomycetes; Thelephorales; Thelephoraceae. The record is from RNAcentral.
ACACCUCAACUCUCACGGUUCGCCCGUGAUGAGCUUGGACUUCUGGAGGUUUUGCUGGCUUGCGGCCGGCUCCUCUCAAAUGGAUCAGCUUACCAGCGUUUGGUGGCAUCAUGGGUGUGAUAACUAUCUACGCUUGUGGUCGUCUGCCAGGUAACCUUCAGCGAUGGGGGUUUGCUGGGGCUUACAAACGUCUCUCCUCAGCGAAGACAGCUUUUGAAC